Molecule: ribosomal RNA, 270 nt
Filed under: uncultured archaeon
Lineage: Archaea
Description: partial 16S ribosomal RNA
Rfam family: Bacterial small subunit ribosomal RNA
Source: RNAcentral
CGAGGGUGCAAACGUUGCUCGGAUUUACUGGGCGUAAAGCGCGUGUAGGCGGACUCGCAAGUCGGUUGUGAAAUCCCUGGGCUCAACCUAGGAACUGCAUCCGAAACUGCUUGUCUUGAGUAAUGGAGAGGGUGGCGGAAUUCCCGGUGUAGAGGUGAAAUUCGUAGAUAUCGGGAGGAACAUCAGUGGCGAAGGCGGCCACCUGGACAUUUACUGACGCUGAGACGCGAAAGCGUGGGGAGCAAACAGGAUUAGAUACCCGCGUAGUCC